RNAcentral lists this ribosomal RNA (301 nucleotides) under uncultured bacterium. Its description in RNAcentral is "partial 16S ribosomal RNA". It matches the Rfam family "Bacterial small subunit ribosomal RNA", at positions 509 to 807 of the family's 1533-position model. The record is from RNAcentral.
CAGUCGCCGCGGUAAUACAGAGGGUGCGAGCGUUAAUCGGAUUUACUGGGCUUAAAGCUUGCGUAGGCGGCUUCUUAAGUCGGAUGUGAAAUCCCUGAGCUUAACUUAGGAAUUGCAUUCGAUACUGGGAAGCUAGAGUAUGGGAGAGGAUGGUAGAAUUCCAGGUGUAGCGGUGAAAUGCGUAGAGAUCUGGAGGAAUACCGAUGGCGAAGGCAGCCAUCUGGCCUAAUACUGACGCUGAGUUACGAAAGCAUGGGGAGCAAACAGGAUUAGAUACCCCCGUAGUCCCUGUCUCUUAUAC